UACGUAGGGUGCAAGCGUUGUCCGGAAUUAUUGGGCGUAAAGAGCGUGUAGGCGGCCCGGUUAGUCCGCUGUGAAAGUCAAAGGCUCAACCUUUGAAUGUCAGUGGAUACUGCCGGGCUAGAGUCCGGAAGAGGCGAGUGGAACUCCUGGUGUAGCGGUGGAAUGCGCAGAUAUCAGGAGGAACACCGGUGGCGAAGGCGGGUCUCUGGGCCGAUACUGACGCUGAGGAGCGAAAGCGUGGGGAGCGAACAGG
RNAcentral lists this ribosomal RNA (253 nucleotides) under uncultured bacterium. RNAcentral's name for it is "partial 16S ribosomal RNA". It matches the Rfam family "Bacterial small subunit ribosomal RNA", at positions 524 to 776 of the family's 1533-position model. The record is from RNAcentral.